This 440-nucleotide ribosomal RNA is filed under the name uncultured bacterium. RNAcentral's name for it is "partial 16S ribosomal RNA". It matches the Rfam family "Bacterial small subunit ribosomal RNA", at positions 338 to 795 of the family's 1533-position model. The record is from RNAcentral.
CCUACGGGAGGCUGCAGUAGGGAAUAUUGCUCAAUGGAGGAAACCCUGACGCAGCAACGCCGCGUGGGUGAUGAAGGUUUUCGGAUUGUAAACCCCUUUUGUUAGAGAAGAUAAUGACGGUAUCUAACGAAUAAGCACCGGCUAACUCCGUGCCAGCAGCCGCGGUACUCCGGAGGGUGCAACCGUUACUCUGAAUCACUGGUCGUAAAGGGUGCGUUGGAGGGAUAGAAAGUCAGCUGUGAAAUGCUAUUGGGUAACGAUAGCACUGCAUUUGAAACUGUUAUACUAGAGUAUUGGAGAGGUAGGUGGAAUUCUGGGUGUAGGGGUAAAAUGCGUAGAGAUAAAGAGGAAUACUCAUUGCGAAGGCGACCUGCUAGAACAUAACUGACGCUGAUGCGCGAAAGCGUGGGGAGCAAACAGGAUUAGAUACCCCUGUAGUC